This 402-nucleotide long non-coding RNA is filed under the name Monodelphis domestica (gray short-tailed opossum). RNAcentral's name for it is "lncRNA (ENSMODG00000043112.1)". The record is from RNAcentral. Lineage: Eukaryota; Metazoa; Chordata; Mammalia; Didelphimorphia; Didelphidae.
GUUUCAAAGUGAAGGACCAAGAGACAACCUUGUCUGAGUUUUGCAUCAUUUUCAUGGAUUCCUUUCUCCUUCAAAGGAAAGGAAUAAUGAACUGGAGAAAUUCCAUGUGAACUGGAACAACUUUCAGGAACUGAUGCAGUGAGAGGAGCAGAACCAGGAGAACAUUAUACACAGAGAUGGAAAACUGUGGCACAAUCAAAUGUAAUGGACUUCUCUACUAGCAGCAAUGCAAUGACCCAAGACAAUUCUAUGGAACUUAUGAGAAAGAACACUAUCCACCUCCAGAGAAAGAUCUGUCUUACCUUACGUCAAUUGAGAAAGAAAGAAAGAAAAUCAAAAUCCAUAUUGGAGCCCCUUAUCUCUCUAACAGGAGACAAAGCUGGAAAGAUCUGCAGGAACUAA